Molecule: ribosomal RNA, 253 nt
Filed under: uncultured bacterium
Lineage: Bacteria
Description: partial 16S ribosomal RNA
Rfam family: Bacterial small subunit ribosomal RNA
Source: RNAcentral
UACGAAGGACCCGAGCGUUAUCCGGAUUUAUUGGGUUUAAAGGGUGCGUAGGCGUCCUGGAAAGUUACGGUUGAAAUCUCCUUGCUCAACAAGGAGACUGGCCGUAAAACUAUCAGGAUUGAGUACAUUUGAAGCGGGCGGAAUGUGUCAUGUAGCGGUGAAAUGCUUAGAUAUGACACAGAACACCAAUUGCGAAGGCAGCUCGCUAAACUGUAACUGACGCUGAGGCACGAAAGCGUGGGGAUCAAACAGG